Molecule: transfer RNA, 366 nt
Filed under: uncultured Paenibacillaceae bacterium
Lineage: Bacteria; Bacillati; Bacillota; Bacilli; Caryophanales; Paenibacillaceae
Description: partial 16S-23S ribosomal RNA intergenic spacer
Rfam family: tRNA (bases 149-221)
Source: RNAcentral
UCUAAGGAAGCGUGGCGGAGGGCAGGUGCACUACGCGAACGAAGAGGCAACUCGAAAUCGCGGAAGCAUCCUGUGCAUCCGUUGGGCGAACCAAGGUUCAGGUCUAUUGAUUGAAGAAGGUUCAUGACGCUCCAGCCUGGAGCGUUUUGGGGGUGUAGCUCUGCUGGGAGAGCGCCUGCCUUGCAAGCAGGAGGCCAAGAGUUCGAUUCUCUUCAUCUCCAUCGCACCUUGACAACUGAAUCGAAGAAGAGAUUUCUGGUCAAAUCGAGAAGAGCACGAGGCGGAUGCCUUGGCACAUGGUGCCGAUGAAGGACGCGAGCAAGCGAUAACUGCGGUGAGUGGCAACACGCAUAGACCCGCAGGUUU